This 253-nucleotide ribosomal RNA is filed under the name uncultured bacterium. RNAcentral's name for it is "partial 16S ribosomal RNA". It matches the Rfam family "Bacterial small subunit ribosomal RNA", at positions 524 to 776 of the family's 1533-position model. The record is from RNAcentral.
UACGGAGGGUGCAAGCAUUAAUCGGAUUUAUUGGGCGUAAAGGGCGCGUAGGCGGGAAUGUAAGUCAGACGUGAAAUCCCGGGGCUCAACCCCGGAACUGCAUUUGAAACUACAUUUCUUGAGGGUAGAAGGAGAAAACGGAAUUCCACAUGUAGCGGUGAAAUGCGUAGAUAUGUGGAAGAACACCUGUGGCGAAGGCGGUUUUCUAUUUUAUUCCUGACGCUAAAGCGCGAAAGCAAGGGGAUCAAACAGG